Molecule: ribosomal RNA, 750 nt
Filed under: uncultured bacterium
Lineage: Bacteria
Description: bacterial SSU rRNA
Rfam family: Bacterial small subunit ribosomal RNA
Source: RNAcentral
GUCGAGCGAGUCUGCCUUGAAGAUCGGAGUGCUUGCACUCUGUGAAACAAGAUACAGGCUAGCGGCGGACGGGUGAGUAACACGUGGGUAACCUGCCCAAGAGAUCGGGAUAACACCUGGAAACAGAUGCUAAUACCGGAUAACAACAGAUGAUGCCUAUCAACUGUUUAAAAGAUGGUUCUGCUAUCACUCUUGGAUGGACCUGCGGUGCAUUAGCUAGUUGGUAGGGUAACGGCCUACCAAGGCGAUGAUGCAUAGCCGAGUUGAGAGACUGAUCGGCCACAUUGGGACUGAGACACGGCCCAAACUCCUACGGGAGGCAGCAGUAGGGAAUCUUCCACAAUGGACGCAAGUCUGAUGGAGCAACGCCGCGUGAGUGAAGAAGGGUUUCGGCUCGUAAAGCUCUGUUGUUGGUGAAGAAGGACGGGGGUAGUAACUGACCCUUGUUUGACGGUAAUCAAUUAGAAAGUCACGGCUAACUACGUGCCAGCAGCCGCGGUAAUACGUAGGUGGCAAGCGUUGUCCGGAUUUAUUGGGCGUAAAGCGAGUGCAGGCGGUUCGAUAAGUCUGAUGUGAAAGCCUUCGGCUCAACCGGAGAAUUGCAUCAGAAACUGUCGAGCUUGAGUACAGAAGAGGAGAGUGGAACUCCAUGUGUAGCGGUGAAAUGCGUAGAUAUAUGGAAGAACACCGGUGGCGAAGGCGGCUCUCUGGUCUGUUACUGACGCUGAGGCUCGAAAGCAUGGGUANNNA